AAUAGAUAAUAUCUGCCCACUGCUUAGGUAAAGGGCUGCGGUAUAUUGACUGUACGAAGGUAGCAUAAUCAUUAGCUUUUUAAUUUGAAGCUGGUAUGAAUGAUGAAACAUGAAGUAGCUUUAUUAUAUUUAAGAGUUGAAAUUUUUGUUUAUGUGAAAAGACGUAAAUUUAUAUAAGGGGCGAGAAGACCCUAAAAGCUUUAUUUUAUUUUACAACAGUAGUUUAUCAGGUUAAGGUUGUGAAGUAGAUUUUAAUUGGGGCGAUUGUUUUAAAAACAAAAAUUGUGUUUGAGGAAAAUAGCAAGAGGGAAAGACCUGAUUGGUUCAAUUGGAAGGAAAGUUACUUUAGGGAUAACAGCGUAAUAUUCUUUGAGAGUUCAUAUUGACGGGAGUUUGAUUGCGACCUCGAUGUUGGAUUAAAGUUUGGUUUUGGUGUAGUAGUCAAUAAUCAGGGUCUGU
This 459-nucleotide ribosomal RNA is filed under the name Polydesmida sp. K200420S1013. RNAcentral's name for it is "partial large subunit ribosomal RNA". It matches the Rfam family "Bacterial large subunit ribosomal RNA", at positions 1847 to 2580 of the family's 2925-position model. Lineage: Eukaryota; Metazoa; Arthropoda; Diplopoda; Polydesmida. The record is from RNAcentral.